UAUAGAUGGAUCCGCGCUGCAUUAGCUAGUUGGUAAGGUAACGGCUUACCAAGGCAACGAUGCAUAGCCGACCUGAGAGGGUGAUCGGCCACACUGGAACUGAGACACGGUCCAGACUCCUACGGGAGGCAGCAGUAGGGAAUCUUCCGCAAUGGGCGAAAGCCUGACGGAGCAACGCCGCGUGAGUGAUGAAGGUCUUCGGAUCGUAAAACUCUGUUAUUAGGGAAGAACAUAUGUGUAAGUAACUGUGCACAUCUUGACGGUACCUAAUCAGAAAGCCACGGCUAACUACGUGCCAGCAGCCGCGGUAAUACGUAGGUGGCAAGCGUUAUCCGGAAUUAUUGGGCGUAAAGCGCGCGUAGGCGGUUUUUUAAGUCUGAUGUGAAAGCCCACGGCUCAACCGUGGAGGGUCAUUGGAAACUGGAAAACUUGAGUGCAGAAGAGGAAAGUGGAAUUCCAUGUGUAGCGGUGAAAUGCGCAGAGAUAUGGAGGAACACCAGUGGCGAAGGCGACUUUCUGGUCUGUAACUGACGCUGAUGUGCGAAAGCGUGGGGAUCAAACAGGAU
This 566-nucleotide ribosomal RNA is filed under the name Staphylococcus aureus. RNAcentral describes it as "bacterial SSU rRNA". It matches the Rfam family "Bacterial small subunit ribosomal RNA", at positions 220 to 778 of the family's 1533-position model. Lineage: Bacteria; Bacillati; Bacillota; Bacilli; Caryophanales; Staphylococcaceae. The record is from RNAcentral.